GAUGAAGAACGUAGCGAAAUGCGAUACUUGGUGUGAAUUGCAGAAUCCCGUGAACCAUCGAGACUUUGAACGCAAGUUGCGCCCGAAGCCAUCAGGUUGAGGGCACGUCUGCCUGGGCGUCACAUAUCGUUGCCCAAUGCCUAUUGCAGUGCAAUAGGAAUUUCUAGGGCGAAUGAUGGCUUCCCGUGAGCGUUGUUGCCUCGCGGUUGGUUGAAAAUCGAGUCCUUGGUAGGGUGUGCCAUGGUAGAUGGUGGUCGAGUUAGAACGAUACCGAUCAUGUGCAUGCUCCCCAAAAUAUGGCCUCUAUGACCCACACGCGUCUUUUGACGCUCAUGACGAGACCUCAGGUCAGGCGGGGCUACCCGCUGAAUUUAAGCAUAUCAAUAAGCGGAGGA
This 395-nucleotide unclassified non-coding RNA is filed under the name soil metagenome. RNAcentral describes it as "partial contains 5.8S ribosomal RNA, internal transcribed spacer 2, and large subunit ribosomal RNA". The stretch from base 1 to 122 matches the Rfam family "5.8S ribosomal RNA", at positions 35 to 154 of the family's 154-position model. The record is from RNAcentral.